CCUACGGGGUGCAGCAGUGAGGAAUAUUGGUCAAUGGACGAGAGUCUGAACCAGCCAAGUAGCGUGAAGGAUGACUGCCCUAUGGGUUGUAAACUUCUUUUAUAUGGGAAUAAAAUGUUCCACGUGUGGGAUUUUGUAUGUACCAUAUGAAUAAGGAUCGGCUAACUCCGUGCCAGCAGCCGCGGUACUACGGAGGAUCCGAGCGUUAUCCGGAUUUAUUGGGUUUAAAGGGAGCGUAGGUGGAUUGUUAAGUCAGUUGUGAAAGUUUGCGGCUCAACCGUAAAAUUGCAGUUGAAACUGGCAGUCGUGAGUACAGUAGAGGUGGGCGGAAUUCGUGGUGUAGCGGUGAAAUGCUUAGAUAUCACGAAGAACUCCGAUUGCGAAGGCAGCUCACUGGACUGCAACUGACACUGAGGCUCGAAAGUGUGGGUAUCAAACAGGAUUAGAUACCCUAGUAGUC
This 460-nucleotide ribosomal RNA is filed under the name uncultured bacterium. RNAcentral describes it as "partial 16S ribosomal RNA". It matches the Rfam family "Bacterial small subunit ribosomal RNA", at positions 338 to 795 of the family's 1533-position model. The record is from RNAcentral.